GCGCUCCUCCGGGCAGAGCGCGUGUGGCGGCCGAGCACAUGGGCCCGCGGGCCGGGCGGGCUCGGGGCGGCCGGGACGAGGAGGGGCGACGACGAGCUGCGAGCAAAGAUGUGCCCCGGGACCCCCGGCACCUUCCAGUGGAUUUCCUUGCGGAAAGGAUGUUGGCGGUCCCUGUGACCUGUGGAGACACGGCCAGAUCUGCCCUCCAGCCUGAUCUUUUGGCCAGAAGGAGAUUAAAAAGAUGCCCCUCAAGAUGGCUGUGCCUGUCAGCUGCAUGGAGCUUCGUUCAAGUAUUUUCUGAGCCUGAUGGAUUUACAGUGAUCUUCAGUGGUCUGGGGAAUAACGCUGGUGGAACCAUGCACUGGAAUGACACACGCCCGGCACAUUUCAGGAUACUAAAAGUGGUUUUAAGGGAGGCUGUGGCUGAAUGCCUCAUGGAUUCUUACAGCUUGGAUGUCCAUGGGGGACGAAGGACUGCAGCUGGCUGAGAGGGUUGAGAUCUCUGUUUACUUAGAUCUCUGCCAACUUCCUUUGGGUCUCCCUAUGGAAUGUAAGACCCCGACUCUUCCUGGUGAAGCAUCUGAUGCACGUUCCAUCCGGCGCUCAGCUGGGCUUGAGAAUCCUGUUACACCUGGGAUUUAGGCACUUUCAAUCUGAAAAAAUACAUAUCCUUUCAGCACUCUGGACGGACUUGAGAACUGUCCUUACGUGACCUAAAGCUGGAGUAUUUUGAGAUUGGAGAAUUAAGAGCCAGUCUUGGUGCUCUGUGUUCACCUGGUUCAUCUGAGGAGCUGCAUCUACCCUGCCCAUGCCAUAGAUCCUGCCCUGUUUGCUUCUCCUGUUGCUGCUAGUGGACAUGAGAAGGACAGAAUAACGGGCUCCCAGAUUCACAAGCCCCACCAAGAGGAUCACCCCAGGAACGCUUGGAGGCUGAGGAGUUCACUGAGGCUACUGCAUCUUGAGACUCAGGAUGAAGACCCAGCUUGGGGCUGUCAAAGGUUUUUUGCAUGUCUGACACCCAUGACUCCACCUGGACCUUAUGGCUCCACCCAGAAGCAAUUCAGCCCAACAGGAGGACAGCUUCAACCCAUUACGAUUUCAUCUCUGCCCCAACCACUCAGCAGCAAGCACCUGUUACCUGUCCACCCCCACCCCUUCCCCCAAACUGCCUUUGAAAAAUCCCUAACCUAUGAGCUUUGAAUAAGAUGAGUACGAACUUCAUCGCCCACGUGGCGUGGCCGGCCUCGUGUCUAUUAAAUUCUUUUUCUACUACAA
This 1275-nucleotide long non-coding RNA is filed under the name Homo sapiens (human). Its description in RNAcentral is "HSALNT0349959". The stretch from base 31 to 208 matches the Rfam family "Pvt1 oncogene conserved region 1". The record is from RNAcentral. Lineage: Eukaryota; Metazoa; Chordata; Mammalia; Primates; Hominidae.